Molecule: ribosomal RNA, 253 nt
Filed under: uncultured bacterium
Lineage: Bacteria
Description: partial 16S ribosomal RNA
Rfam family: Bacterial small subunit ribosomal RNA
Source: RNAcentral
UACGAAGGGUGCAAACGUUGCUCGGAAUUAUUGGGCGUAAAGCGCACGUAGGCGGCUUAGCAAGUCGGAUGUGAAAUCCCUCGGCUCAACCAAGGAAGUGCAUCCGAAACUGCAGAGCUUGAGUACUUAAGAGGAUCGCGGAAUUCCCGGUGUAGAGGUGAAAUUCGUAGAUAUCGGGAGGAACACCAGUGGCGAAGGCGGGUUGCUGGGCUGACACUGACGCUGAUGCGCGAAAGCCAGGGGAGCGAACGGG